CCUACGGGUGGCAGCAGUGAGGAAUAUUGGUCAAUGGACGAGAGUCUGAACCAGCCAAGUAGCGUGAAGGAUGACUGCCCUAUGGGUUGUAAACUUCUUUUAUAUGGGAAUAAAAUGUUCCACGUGUGGGAUUUUGUAUGUACCAUAUGAAUAAGGAUCGGCUAACUCCGUGCCAGCAGCCGCGGUAAUACGGAGGAUCCGAGCGUUAUCCGGAUUUAUUGGGUUGAAAGGGAGCGUAGGUGGAUUGUUAAGUCAGUUGUGAAAGUUUGCGGCUCAACCGUAAGAUUGCAGUUGAAACUGGCAGUCUUGAGUGCAGUAGAGGUGAGCGGAAUUCGUGGUGUAGCGGUGAAAUGCUUAGAUAUCACGAAGAACACCGAUUGCGAAGGCAGUUCACUGGACUGCAACUGACACUGAGGCUCGAAAGUGUGGGUAUCAAACAGGAUUAGAUACCCGGGUAGUC
RNAcentral lists this ribosomal RNA (460 nucleotides) under uncultured bacterium. Its description in RNAcentral is "partial 16S ribosomal RNA". It matches the Rfam family "Bacterial small subunit ribosomal RNA", at positions 338 to 795 of the family's 1533-position model. The record is from RNAcentral.